CCAGUAGUACUUUUUAACCUUGUGACUUGUGAGGUUACAGCACUACUGAGAGGGGCAAGGUACGACCGCCUAUCUAUCCCAUCCAUCUCCUCUGCUCCAAAAACCAAUCACCAAGAGGGCGCACACACACGCACAGGCAGGGAAGGAGGGAGGGAGAGAAAGAAAGAAAGAAAGGACAGUCUCAGCAGCACCUCCUCCUUUCGUUCCCUGUACGGCGACGAGCGCUCACCGGAUCCAAGAACAACGAAGCCCCCUCUAUCUCUCUCUUUCUUGUUCUUCUGUCUUCAUUCGUGCUUGGAGGGUUGGUUUGUCCCUCUUCGCUUUGGUGGUUCCGCAACUUCUGAACCCUGAUUUUGUGUUGUCGCUGGUUAGACGACGACGACGACGACGACGGCGGCGUUUCUGUAGAUGCGGAGAGGCUCUCGAGAGAUUGACAGAAGAGAGUGAGCACACGGCGCGACGAACGACAUAGCAUGUAUGCCGUCCUCGCCGCGUGCUCACUUCUCUUUCUGUCAGCCUCUUUCUCUCGAUGGCUUAUCUCCCGUCUAGAUCCGUUGUUAGUCUUAGUCUCUUAGUCUGGUGGGGGGCCGGGCAAAAUCCGUGUUUGAUUUCAAUUCAAUUAAAGGCUGCUUUGGUGUCCUAGUUGGUUUCGAUUCAAUUAGCCUGAUUUGAUGUCCAGGUUUGAUUUCGAUUCAACUGAACCGGUUUAAUUUGAUGGGGUUGUAGUACCUUUUUUUUUCUUAUCACAAGAGACAGAGCAUGCAUGCGGCAUGCCUCCAUGGCCGUGGCUUUUUUUCCUGCUUUACACACUGCCGCCUCCUUAUCUCCUAGAUCUUCACACCCAUGGUUUUUUUUCCCUAUUUUGUUCUGUGGUCUUUUCAGUCAUGCUGGCUGGGACUGCUACCGAUGCUGCUGCUGGUCAUGAGAAGCUAGCUAUUGGCCUUGUAGUACCGGAGUAAAUGAUUGGCGCUACUAGUUUUUUCCCCUAUCCCCAAAUUUUUCAUCUUGCAGUGGUACCCUUCGCCUUGGGAGCUGAAAGCAUGGGGAGAUGCUGCCGGCCGGCCGGCCAGUACACUGCAACACUGAGAGGUUCCCAAAGGAGUACAAACUACGUUGGCGCGCUCCUUCUCUCUCUCUACCUUCUCCCUCUCUCUCUCUGCUAGUUUCAAGGUUUCUUUGUUCUUUCUGUGUGCAGGUCAUGGACGAGGACGACUCAUGGUGGUGGGUGGGGUCGAUCAAGUUCUUGUUGUUGGGUCGAAAAUGGAGCACGGAGACGAGCCAUAUUUAGCAAGGAAGGUAGUGUCCUCACUUCGCCCCGGCCCCCUGCGUGCCAUGCCAGCUGAUAAGCUUGCAUCUAGGUUUAAGUCCAUACCCAAGAUUGGGCAAGGUGGCCUAUCAUGAAAAUGAUGAUGAUGGCCGCAAAGGUCAAUAAGUACUAUGAAAGGAGAAAAGCAUAAUACGAAGGCACGAUGCAAAGGCUAGUACAGACAAGCAAGAUGUGUAGAAUAAGCCGCAGCUGACCAGCGCAUGCAGUCAAGAGGUGGGCGGGCAUGCUUCCAUCAUCGCUGAAAUCACCCUGCAGACUUCGCAUUUUGCUAUGUAAAGAACAGACUACCCAGACAAGGAUGUGUAUAGUUGUAGUGCAAAAGCAACAGGAUGCACCAUAGACAGAGACAAGACAUUUUUGCUAUUUUGAGCACGUGUGCAGAUCCACCUCAAAGUUUCGAAACGAUUUCGGGUGGUGGCUGUGAUGUCGUUUGAGGCAGGCAGCUGCGUCGUUCAGGCACCUGGAACAACAAAAAAAGGCAACAUGUUAUUACCUUGGCGCCAGAUGUCUUCGGGAGGAACCCCUUGUCUUGAAGGGACUUCACUGCUUCGUACAGGUACCCAUGCACUGGCGUGAACUUGACGCCAAGGUCCUUCAGAGGUUGGUUCGUAAACUUGUAGCCCUUCUUCAGUGGGUUCACCUGAUCCUUGCACCUGCAAAAACAAAACAAAAAAAUAGCAUGCUAUCAGUGUAGUGCUGCAACAGCAAAGAGCAAAUGCAUUUGUCUCGAAGCAGUUUGGGACUCCAGACAGGCAGACACCAUGUAUAUAUGUUGUUGUUGCUAUAUCUUCAAAACAAGGUGAUGUUUUUUUUUUCUUUUUUGCCUUGAGGUACCCCUAGGGUCGUCCAUCCAUGUGCUGCCUUCAAAGGAAAGAAUAGGCAUUGCUUUGCUUUUAAGGAAUCGUCCAAGGCACCGGUCAGUCGGUCACACCUACCUCUUCAGUUUAUCAGCAUAACAUUUGCAAUUGCAAGCCAAGCGCAGUUACUAAAUUAAAAUUCAUUCGGUUUUUUCUGACCGGCUCGUCCUAUUCAUUUUUUUUGGAAAAAUUGAAAAAUUCAAUGCCACAUUUAAAGUAAAACAAUAUCACCGCGAAAAAUAACAAUAAUUAUAAAUUUUUUAAAUAAGAUAAGUCAGUCAAACUUAGAGUAAAAAAUCAAGCGAAUUAUAAAUUAGAACGGAGAGAGUAAGAAAAGACUGGGCCGCAUGAUCAUUCACAUGACUAAAAUGCACUCCGGGUUUCAGUUUUCUAUUACGUGGAGUAUCUUGGCUUAUCUAAGCAUGGAUACCCAUCAUCUGACUCGUAGCUAACAAAGUACUGUGCAGCAUCAUCAGAUGGACUUUUCUAUCCAUGGAGAGCUAUUCUUGACCUUGUCCAAAGGACAUUAACUAGUCGUUACUGAGCAGACCAACUAGGCUACUCGUCAUAAACCCUCCUGGCCAUGGAUUUCUUCAAAUAUCAUCGUGCACAAGUUGAAUUUUUGGAGCAGUCCACCACUAUUUCCUUUGAUAGCACAUUGUUCGAAACGACGAAACCAUUAUUAAAAUGCCCAUACCUUGUCGGAAUAGGGUACUCCGGGAAGAGUCCGGCGAGGAUGCGGCAGAGCUCGCCGCGGUGCAGGGUGCGCUCGGCGCAGACGUACCGGCGGCCGCCGGCUCCGGGCGCCUCCAGCACCCUGACGUGCGCCUCGGCGGCGUCCCUGACGUGCACGUAGGCGUGCGACUCGUUGACGUACUCCUUUGUCUGUCCCGUGAGGUACUUGAGGAUGUGCAGGGUGCUGGUGUUCAUACUGGGCUGCAGCAGCUCGCCGAGCACCACCACCGGGAUGACCACCGCCAGGUCCAGCCCCCGCGCCCGCGCCGCCUCCCACGCGCCCUGCUCCGCCACCGUCUUUGCGUAGCAGUACCAGUUCUGUGAGAAUUCAUUCAUUCCAACGGCGUCAGGACUCAGGACUGGCCGCGCGCCGGAGCGGGGGUUCUUUCUUUUGUACUAAUUGAUUCGCAGGCCGGGCGAGAGUUUUUUGUUUA
Long non-coding RNA from Zea mays, 3353 nucleotides. RefSeq lists it as uncharacterized. The record is from RefSeq and is a predicted model, not a curated record. Lineage: Eukaryota; Viridiplantae; Streptophyta; Magnoliopsida; Poales; Poaceae. The transcript is spliced from 5 exons.